This 472-nucleotide ribosomal RNA is filed under the name Clostridium perfringens. RNAcentral's name for it is "bacterial SSU rRNA". It matches the Rfam family "Bacterial small subunit ribosomal RNA", at positions 1019 to 1493 of the family's 1533-position model. Lineage: Bacteria; Bacillati; Bacillota; Clostridia; Eubacteriales; Clostridiaceae. The record is from RNAcentral.
UUCGGGGACAAGGUGACAGGUGGUGCAUGGUUGUCGUCAGCUCGUGUCGUGAGAUGUUGGGUUAAGUCCCGCAACGAGCGCAACCCUUGUCGUUAGUUACUACCAUUAAGUUGAGGACUCUAGCGAGACUGCCUGGGUUAACCAGGAGGAAGGUGGGGAUGACGUCAAAUCAUCAUGCCCCUUAUGUGUAGGGCUACACACGUGCUACAAUGGCUGGUACAGAGAGAUGCAAUACCGCGAGGUGGAGCCAAACUUAAAAACCAGUCUCAGUUCGGAUUGUAGGCUGAAACUCGCCUACAUGAAGCUGGAGUUACUAGUAAUCGCGAAUCAGAAUGUCGCGGUGAAUACGUUCCCGGGUCUUGUACACACCGCCCGUCACACCAUGAGAGUUGGCAAUACCCGAAGUCCGUGAGCUAACCGCAAGGAGGCAGCGGCCGAAGGUAGGGUCAGCGAUUGGGGUGAAGUCGUAACA